GACGAACGCUGGCGGCGUGCUUAACACAUGCAAGUCGAACGGUAAGGCCCUUCGGGGUACACGAGUGGCGAACGGGUGAGUAACACGUGGGUGAUCCGCCCUGCACUUCGGGAUAAGCCUGGGAAACUGGGUCUAAUACCGGAUAGGGCCAUGCGCUUCACGGUGUGUGGUGGAAAGCUUUUGCGGUGUGGGAUGGGCCCGCGGCCUAUCAGCUUGUUGGUGGGGUAAUGGCCUACCAAGGCGACGACGGGUAGCCGGCCUGAGAGGGUGACCGGCCACACGGGGACUGAGAUACGGCCCAGACUCCUACGGGAGGCAGCAGUGGGGAAUAUUGCACAAUGGGCGCAAGCCUGAUGCAGCGACGCCGCGUGAGGGAUGACGGCCUUCGGGUUGUAAACCUCUUUCAGUAGGGACGAAGCGCAAGUGACGGUACCUACAGAAGAAGGACCGGCCAACUACGUGCCAGCAGCCGCCGUAA
This 478-nucleotide ribosomal RNA is filed under the name uncultured bacterium. RNAcentral describes it as "partial 16S ribosomal RNA". It matches the Rfam family "Bacterial small subunit ribosomal RNA", at positions 28 to 523 of the family's 1533-position model. The record is from RNAcentral.